This 357-nucleotide ribosomal RNA is filed under the name uncultured bacterium. RNAcentral describes it as "bacterial SSU rRNA". It matches the Rfam family "Bacterial small subunit ribosomal RNA", at positions 29 to 408 of the family's 1533-position model. The record is from RNAcentral.
AAUGAACGCUGGCGGCAUGCCUAACACAUGCAAGUCGAACGAAGCCUUCGGGCUUAGUGGCGCACGGGUGCGUAACGCGUGGGAAUCUACCCUUGGGUUCGGGAAGUAACAGUUAGAAAUAGACUGCUAAUACCGGAUGAUGACGUAAGUCCAAAGAUUUAUCGCCCACGGGAUGAGCCCGCGUAGGAUUAGCUAGUUGGUGAGGUAAAAGCUCACCAAGGCGACGAUCCUUAGCNGGUCUGAGAGGAUGAUCAGCCACACUGGGACUGAGACACGGCCCAGACUCCUACGGGAGGCAGCAGUGGGGAAGUAUUGGACAAUGGGCGAAAGCCUGAUCCAGCAAUGCCGCGUGAGUGA